Molecule: small RNA, 572 nt
Filed under: Pan troglodytes (chimpanzee)
Lineage: Eukaryota; Metazoa; Chordata; Mammalia; Primates; Hominidae
Description: retained intron
Source: RNAcentral
AAUCUGGCCCUUUGUUUUUCUCUGUUACAGAUAGCUUGCCUCAGUUGGUAGCUUGUCUUUUCUCUCUCCUCAUGAUGUCCAUAAUUUUAAAAUGUCUCCUAUUUCCAGAACGCCAAUCUGAAUUGCCAACGCAAAGCAAAGCGAGCUUCCCCAGUAUUCUCAGUGACCCAGACCCGGAUUCUUCUAAUUCUGGAUUUGACAGCUCAGUUGCCUCUCAGAUCACAGAAGCUUUAGUCAGCGGACCAAAGCCACCUAUUGAAAGCCAUUUUCGACCAGAGUUUAUUCGUCCACCGCCUCCACUCCACAUUUGUGAGGAUGAACUUGCUUGGCUAAACCCCACGGAGCCUGACCACGUGAUCCAGUGGGAUAAAUCGAUGUGUGUUAAGAAUAGCACUGGUGUGGAGAUCAAACGAAUAAUGGCCAAAGCCUUCAAAAGCCCCUUAUCCUCUCCCCAACAAACACAGCUACUUGGUGAGUUGGAAAAAGACCCCAAACUUGUCUACCAUAUUGGCCUCACCCCAGCCAAACUUCCUGACCUUGUGGAAAACAACCCUUUAGUCGCUAUAGAAAUG